Molecule: long non-coding RNA, 432 nt
Filed under: Homo sapiens (human)
Lineage: Eukaryota; Metazoa; Chordata; Mammalia; Primates; Hominidae
Description: non-protein coding lnc-POLR2E-1:1
Source: RNAcentral
UUGAGUGUUUGGGCAGAGCAUCAUGGACCCUUCCAUGGGGUCUACUGCCUGUAGCUGGCCCUUGCCUCAGCUUCAGGAUUCAGAGCUGUGCUGGAGAUGGCCUCACAGCAGGGCAGGCUUGGUGUUGAGGUGGGGUCCCAGCUGAGGCGGGAGGCACACGUAGUCCACCCUGGCCUGGUCAGUGGUGGGGCAGAGGCUGAGGCUUCCAGUCCCUUCCCAUUAGCAGGACUGUAUCCUCAGGCUGGGCCCUCACAGCCCGGGCUGGCGCUGCUGACACCCAGGUCCCUGGUCGCCCACAGUUUGAGCUGGACAUCGAGCCCAAGGUGUUCAAGCCGCCGAGUAGCACAGAGGCCCUGAAUGACAGCCAGGAGUUCCCCUUCCCCGAGACGCCCACCAAAGUGUGGCCGCAGGACGAGUACAUCGUGGAGUACU